This 492-nucleotide ribosomal RNA is filed under the name uncultured bacterium. Its description in RNAcentral is "partial 16S ribosomal RNA". It matches the Rfam family "Bacterial small subunit ribosomal RNA", at positions 29 to 507 of the family's 1533-position model. The record is from RNAcentral.
AGUGAACGCUGGCGGUAGGCCUAACACAUGCAAGUCGAACGGCAGCACAGUAAGAGCUUGCUCUUACGGGUGGCGAGUGGCGGACGGGUGAGGAAUACAUCGGAAUCUACUUUUUCGUGGGGGAUAACGUAGGGAAACUUACGCUAAUACCGCAUACGACCUACGGGUGAAAGCAGGGGAUCUUCGGACCUUGCGCGAUUGAAUGAGCCGAUGUCGGAUUAGCUAGUUGGCGGGGUAAAGGCCCACCAAGGCGACGAUCCGUAGCUGGUCUGAGAGGAUGAUCAGCCACACUGGAACUGAGACACGGUCCAGACUCCUACGGGAGGCAGCAGUGGGGAAUAUUGGACAAUGGGCGCAAGCCUGAUCCAGCCAUACCGCGUGGGUGAGGAAGGCCUUCGGGUUGUAAAGCCCUUUUGUUAGGAAAGAAAAGCAGCAGGUUAAUACCCCGCUGUUCUGACGGUACCCAAAGAAUAAGCACCGGCUAACUUCGUG